GGCUAUGGCCAUACCACCCUGAAUGCACCUGAUCUUAUCUGAUCUUAAAAGCUAAGCAGGGUUGGGCCUGAUUAGUACUUGCUAGUGGGAGACCACCUGGGAAUACUGGAUACUGUAGGCU
This 121-nucleotide ribosomal RNA is filed under the name Microcebus murinus (gray mouse lemur). Lineage: Eukaryota; Metazoa; Chordata; Mammalia; Primates; Cheirogaleidae. The record is from RNAcentral.